This 381-nucleotide ribosomal RNA is filed under the name Triticum aestivum (bread wheat). RNAcentral describes it as "partial small subunit ribosomal RNA". The record is from RNAcentral. Lineage: Eukaryota; Viridiplantae; Streptophyta; Magnoliopsida; Poales; Poaceae.
AUGUAUCUAGUUUGUAUGGGUGUUUUUGAUUCUGAAACUAAUGAGAACUGGAUCUGGUUCAUGCAAUUGGUUAGGCAAGCCAUGGGGCAAGCCAUAGGAUCCCCAAGGGGUUUAACCAUAUGCACCGACGCUGGGCAGCCAGUGAUGACAGGUGUAAAAGAAGUGUUCCCAGAGGCUGAACAUAGGGAAUGUAUGUUUCACUUGGUGUCCAACUUCAAGAAGAAGUUUCAUGGAAAGGUUUUUGAUGACCACCUUUGGGCUGCUGCUUACUCAUGGAACCCAUAUUUAUUUGUGAAAAAUUGGGUUGCAAUGGACAUAGCAAAGCCAACGGCAACUGCAUAUCUUAGGAAGUGGCACACUAGGUUGUGGUCUAGGAGUUAG